This 641-nucleotide ribosomal RNA is filed under the name Leifsonia sp. I13A-01663. RNAcentral's name for it is "bacterial SSU rRNA". It matches the Rfam family "Bacterial small subunit ribosomal RNA", at positions 90 to 745 of the family's 1533-position model. Lineage: Bacteria; Bacillati; Actinomycetota; Actinomycetes; Micrococcales; Microbacteriaceae. The record is from RNAcentral.
GAUUAGUGGCGAACGGGUGAGUAACACGUGAGUAACCUGCCCUUGACUCUGGGAUAACCUCCGGAAACGGAAGCUAAUACCGGAUAUGACGCACGGAGGCAUCUCCUGUGCGUGGAAAGAACUUCGGUCAAGGAUGGACUCGCGGCCUAUCAGGUAGUUGGUGAGGUAACGGCCCACCAAGCCUACGACGGGUAGCCGGCCUGAGAGGGUGACCGGCCACACUGGGACUGAGACACGGCCCAGACUCCUACGGGAGGCAGCAGUGGGGAAUAUUGCACAAUGGGCGCAAGCCUGAUGCAGCAACGCCGCGUGAGGGACGACGGCCUUCGGGUUGUAAACCUCUUUUAGUAGGGAAGAAGCGAAAGUGACGGUACCUGCAGAAAAAGCACCGGCUAACUACGUGCCAGCAGCCGCGGUAAUACGUAGGGUGCGAGCGUUGUCCGGAAUUAUUGGGCGUAAAGAGCUCGUAGGCGGUCUGUCGCGUCUGCUGUGAAAUCCCGAGGCUCAACCUCGGGCCUGCAGUGGGUACGGGCAGACUAGAGUGCGGUAGGGGAGAAUGGAAUUCCUGGUGUAGCGGUGGAAUGCGCAGAUAUCAGGAGGAACACCGAUGGCGAAGGCAGUUCUCUGGGCCGUAACUGACG